Molecule: RNA transcript, 1325 nt
Organism: Lolium rigidum
Lineage: Eukaryota; Viridiplantae; Streptophyta; Magnoliopsida; Poales; Poaceae
Exons: 3
Source: RefSeq, a predicted model, not a curated record
UGCGCUGGUGAAGGCGAAAUGGGGCGCGGUCGAAAUCGCUCCCGUCGGACGCUGCUAUGAGAUUCCCGUGCCGGGCCCGCAUGCGGGAACGUUUGACCAGCCAUUUCCGCAAAUACGAGCGAUGCGCCGUAGAUACAUAGCACCUUUUCGUAUGUUAUACGGUGGUGGCCCCCUGCCGACGUGGGGUAUUGGACAGGUUCCACCGAGCCCAGUUAAUUCGAAAUCCAAUCACCUCCUCCCUGCGUCAGACGAGACACACACCCGCAGGCGAGAGCGGAUCCUCCGGCUAGAUCCCGACGCCGCAGGCGAUGCAGGUCGAUGGCCGCCCCUAAGGUUCACUCAGCUUGGAUUUUCCAUCCCUAGAUUCGCCUUGGCUCGACCGAGAAGAAGCAAACCAGACGGGAGAUGAGGGCACCAGCCCAAGCCGGAGCGUCGACUCUACGAGCUCUGGAAGCAACGGCCGCGCCGGAUUUCGCGGAGGUAGCGGAAGUUCCGAUGCCUUCUCCAGAUGAAGCCGCGGCCCAUCUCUCCAAUUCACCACCAUCGCCUGGGUCAUGGAACAACAGGUCAUAUAACAACCAAGCUUAAGGACUGCCGCUGGAGGAUCCCCCCCUUCGCGUUUUGGAAUCGCUCCUAUUUAUUGUUCAUCAUGAUAUAGUUUUAUGGCUUCGUAAUUCAGGCCAGAUGAUAACCAAACAUAUGAAUUAUCCCAUCUGCGCCUCACAAUCGCCUCCAUCUCCACAUCCAUGGAAGAAGAGGUUCGUUGAUUUCCUGUCAAUAUCAGGAUGCUCAUUGUUGCUCUCGUAUGUUAGCAGAAUUAUUUUCCUAGUUUUAGUGUGCCAAGGCGGGUCGGUAGUUGCGGCUGAAAUUAUACCUAUGAGGUCAUGCAAAAUCGCGGACAAAUGCUAUUUUCAAAUGAAUUUCUUUUAACAAGCUGACAGCUAAUGCGUUUGAUUGCAAUUCAGCAUGUCUGGUGUGAUGUACAGUGUCAUUUGUAGAUGCAGGUGUAGCAUCUCCAACAUUUCAAUAAGGGCCGGCUUAUUUUGACCUAAGUUGGUGCAUUCAUUGUUUAGUUGUAUUUUCCAAGUAACAAAUGAUUAGUCCCCAAUAACAUGUCCUUUUUUAAGUUCUGGAUUUGAGUUCAGAUAUAGUCCUUCAAUUCUCCAGGCCCUUUGCACGAGCCCGAGUUAUUCAAUGCCAAGUUCCGAUGAGGAUUAUAUGCAGUACAGUAGCAUUUCAUCUAUGUAUUGCAUCUCUGAUUUGCCCUUAGGUUUCAAAUUUCCAUCGCAGUUACUUAGGCUCUUCCUGUAUUUAAAAAUUCACAC